This 427-nucleotide ribosomal RNA is filed under the name uncultured bacterium. RNAcentral describes it as "bacterial SSU rRNA". It matches the Rfam family "Bacterial small subunit ribosomal RNA", at positions 355 to 774 of the family's 1533-position model. The record is from RNAcentral.
UGGGGAAUAUUGGAUAAUGGGCGCAAGCCUGAUCCAGCCAUGCCGCGUGGGUGAAGAAGGCCUUCGGGUUGUAAAGCCCUUUUGUUGGGGAAGAAAUCGUGCAGGUGAAUAUCCUGCGCGGAUGACGGUACCCAAAGAAUAAGCACCGGCUAACUUCGUGCCAGCAGCCGCGGUAAUACGAAGGGUGCAAGCGUUACUCGGAAUUACUGGGCGUAAAGCGUGCGUAGGCGGUUCGUUAAGUCCGUUGUGAAAGCCCUGGGCUCAACCUGGGAAUUGCAGAGGAUACCGGCGAGCUAGAGUACGGUAGAGGAUGGUGGAAUUCCCGGUGUCGCGGUUAAAUGCGUAGAGAUCGGGAGGAACACCCGUGGCGAAGGCGGCCAUCUGGACCAGUACUGACGCUGAGGCACGAAAGCGUGGGGAGCAAACA